RNAcentral lists this ribosomal RNA (115 nucleotides) under uncultured eukaryote. RNAcentral describes it as "partial small subunit ribosomal RNA". It matches the Rfam family "Eukaryotic small subunit ribosomal RNA", at positions 1675 to 1785 of the family's 1831-position model. The record is from RNAcentral.
GUCGCUCCUACCGAUUGAAUGAUCCGGUGAAGUGUUCGGAUUGCGUCGACGAUGGCGGUUCGCCGCCGUCGACGUCGUGAGAAGUUCAUUGAACCUUAUCAUUUAGAGGAAGGAG